RNAcentral lists this long non-coding RNA (717 nucleotides) under Homo sapiens (human). RNAcentral describes it as "non-protein coding lnc-DCT-19:2". The record is from RNAcentral. Lineage: Eukaryota; Metazoa; Chordata; Mammalia; Primates; Hominidae.
GAAGCUUCAUGAGAUCUCUCCUGUCUGUGCACGGACGAGUGGCCGACUCUGGAGCCCAGGGUGUUGCUUCCCGGUCUGGUAGUGAAUCGUCCAUAGUCUGGUGGAAGACGGAAAGAGAAAACCAUAUGAAAAAAAGACACAAAUUUCUAAAAAAGCAUCCUGUCUUUGAAGAGUGGCAAAUACUAUUCUGUUUUUGAGUACAGAAAUAGAUCCAACUUGGAAUUAUAAAACAGAAUGGCACAAUAUAUUUAACUGACUUCCAUCUUCAAGCAAAGAGUUGUUCUCCAAAUGGCAAUUGGAAUUUGCAGCAACCUGAGUGAGGAGAGAGAUAAAUUGAAUAAUUGUUAGGCAAAAAUGAACCAGAACUUGAAGACUUGGAAAAUUACCAGCCUAUUUAUAUUGCAAAAUAAUACCAAAGAAUUUUGGGAAGAGAACAUCAAGGAUAUUGCUGGGCUACAAAGAUCUGCUAGAAAGAUUACAGUUACCAUGGUGCUGCAACUGGCUGAACAUGCUGUUACUAUGGAAACAACAGUGUAUUUCUCUGCAUCUCAUACAUUUUGGUACAUUCUUCAGAUCUUUUCUUCACAUGUGCAUUUAUUUUCAUAUGACAAAUAUGUAAUUAAAAGUUCUAUAGUUCUUGAGCAAUUAGGGCAACUUAGACAAUAUUUUCAUACUUACAGAACAAUUGAAAAUUAAUGACAGAAUAUACACAAUAUU